CCAAUCUUCUACUAGAAGCAGGCAUCAAUCGGCUAUAUGGGAAUUUAGAAUAAAAGUUAACUCAUCAGAAAGUUAAAUACUGUCAUUAAGACAAACCCAAAAUAAAAGAGGAAGUUGCAGAGUCCAGCAGGUCUCCUGUCAGAGUUUCAGGAAACAGACUGCUCAAGUCUGAACGUUAUUCAUGCCAAAGUGUUUUUACCAGCCUAUCGGAAAGUCAAGCUGGUUGGAUCUCCUUUGAUCUUCAAGUGCAUUUGUUUUUUGGUUUUUUUGCCAGUUUUGGCAGAUAUGUACAACUUCCUUUUGCUCGCUAUUCUUUUAAGCUCCUUAAUGACAGUAUUAAAGUUUCACAAGAAGAUUUUUCGUACAAUCCUUGCAAAUGCACUCUAUCUUUACAUGGCUGCUGCGAGCACUUAAAUAGCUAGUUCCAGACUUCCAGUUGUUUGGGAAGUUGACGAGCCAAGAGGAUCAACAGCUUUUUGCACAUUGCAACCCACAACAAAAGCAGACACCCAUGUUUGACAGCAAGUUCAAGGCCAGUCAUUAUUCCAAGAAGUAAUAUUGUAUGCAAAGAAGGAUGUAAACUUGGCAAAACUUUCAUUGAUUCAAAGUUUUAAAUCGAAGGAAUAUGUUGCUGGGACCCAUUUCUAUUGGUUUUUGACUAAUGAUGGUAUUGAGUUUUGGAUCACUUAUUUGAAUCUACCAUCUGAGAUUGUGCCUAAUACUUUCUGCUCUAACUGGUACAGCACCACAGAGUUAUCGCCUAGGUGGUUUAGACAUGUUAAAAGUAGACAGGAAUGCGUUCAGUUAUGAAGAUGGAAUAUUUACGGGUGAAGUAACUCGUCAGGCACAUCAGUCUGUUACAGCUAAAUUUAAAUAUUUUGAGGACAUGGUGUUGGAGAAUGCAAAAGAACAUCGUGUUUUGCCCCGUACUGUUUUCAUUGGUGACUCAGUUAGUGACUUGUUGUGCCUGCUUACAGCUGAUAUUGGCAUUGUGAUUGGGUCAAACAGAAGCACAAUUAAUGUGGGAUAUCACUUUGGUAUUACAUUUCUACCUCUGUAUGCUGGUGUGUUCCAGGAACAGAAAAAAACGCUUCGAAACUGACAACCCUAUUGUCUGGACAAAAGUGGUCGAAAUUAAGUUCUGGAAUGCAGAAUUGGGUAUGUACAGAUGGUGCUCUACGGAGAGUUUUAUUGAGGGCCGUGCAUUGAAGUAGCGAAAACUGUCCGAGGGAUGAUGAAGAUUUAG
Papaver somniferum (opium poppy) is the source of this 1246-nucleotide long non-coding RNA. RefSeq lists it as uncharacterized. The transcript has 3 exons. The record is from RefSeq and is a predicted model, not a curated record. Lineage: Eukaryota; Viridiplantae; Streptophyta; Magnoliopsida; Ranunculales; Papaveraceae.